UGGGUCGCACUGGGUCGUCCCGGUAGUCUGUCUAGUGUUGUGAACCCUGGUGAGGCCCUGGCAGGACACCCCGUGCCGGACACUGGACAGAGGGCAAAGUGAACUCCGGAGCACAGGUGUCGGUGGCGGGCCAGUGUAAAGUGACCAGCACGUGACGCUAACCAGAGACGCACCGGACAGGAUAGUAGGCCCUUCCCUCCGCUGCAUCCUCACCCCUCCCCCUCACCCCAAACCACCCACCACCACCACACACCACCAAGCACUGCGCCCUCUCCACCAUCAAUUGCACCUGAUGUAACAUAGCAUAACAUAACCAGAGACACGGUACAGGAUUAUAUACGGUUCCUGUUUCCCAUCAUAACUACCACCACUACCUCAAUCUUCAGCAGCCAUCAUUAACCGUACUAUCUUCACCCCUUCACCAUCACACCCAGAAACGCCACAACCAUCAGCAUCCUCUAGACUACCGCACCAUCGCACCAACCCAAACUACCACUACCUCUCCAUCCCUACUAACAUCACCACUAAUCCCCCGCCCCUAUCAACAACAACACUAUUCCCUCAUCUCCACCAACACCACCACUACACUCUCCACCCUCACCGACACCACCAGUACCCCCUCCUCAACCCUCACCAAUACCACCACUACACCCACCACCACCACCACCACGACCAGCACUCAAACCGUCAAUAGUGCACCACCGCAGGCUCCUCUCCUUACCUGCCGCGUCAAGUUUGUCGACGUGGCUAUGGGUGCUAUGAAGCGUCCUUGUGACUCGCCGAUGUCGUUCACACAUUAAAAAAUAAGCGUGAGGCAACAGCAGCACCUACGUCCUUGUUAAAUUUAGCACCGAAACAGGACGCCGAGUUGAACCUUCCGGGGCGGCAGACGGCAGUGUGCCCUCAGACCCCGAGGAAGCGAUAACGCUCCCAGAAGCCACGGAGAAGCCGCUGUUUUAAGUGACUAAGCGGUGGGCACAUCACAAGUCUUCUGUCGGGUAGCAGCGUUCAGCCCUGGAACUGUUGAUGACUACAAGCUUUCACAGUAUCAGAUGAUGGAGUCUUUGCGGGUCAGGUGAGAGCUGCUGCUGUUGAGGCCGCCCGUUGCGUACUGGAGCGUCAAGCGUGGCGGGGAGUGCGUGGGGUACACCUGCCAACCACCUGCCCUCCUCAUCACGCUUCAUAAGUCCUUGGCUCCUCCUCGUCCCGCGCCUCACGACAGCUCCUGAAGUUUGACUGACAACUGGAGUGUGCAAGACCUCACUCUCCAUCAAAGCUGGUACACGAGAUGCUGUAGGGCUAGGACACCUGGCAGGGUCUUCAGUGCACCAUACCUGAAAGAAGUUCAACGAAAUGUCAAAUAGAUAGUUUGCACGCAUUUUCCCAGUAGAUGGCGUUCAUGUCUCUGGACACAUGUGAUCAGGUGUUUGUAUGGCACAGGUGGGCAUUUUCAUAUGUUUACAUGAACAUUAAAGCAAGAAAGUGA
This is a long non-coding RNA of Eriocheir sinensis (Chinese mitten crab), 1486 nucleotides long. RefSeq lists it as uncharacterized. NCBI's taxonomy places the organism in Eukaryota, Metazoa, Arthropoda, Malacostraca, Decapoda, Varunidae. The transcript is spliced from 8 exons. The record is from RefSeq and is a predicted model, not a curated record.